CUUCACUGUUCCAGAGGAAUCUGGAGAACUGAGAACAUUGAUCUGAAGCUGUAUCCUGAAAUGCUGAGACCAUUGGUGAGCUGUAGGAGGCCUUCAGCAAUCACCAGCUUUACUCCAAAAGGAAAAGAUAGAAUUUCCUGGAUGAGCAAACUGGGAGAAGGAUCAGAAGAGAGAUCCCACGAAGGUUCCUUAAUGCUGCUUGGAGGCUGA
This 210-nucleotide long non-coding RNA is filed under the name Parus major (Great Tit). RNAcentral's name for it is "lncRNA (ENSPMJG00000019568.1)". The record is from RNAcentral. Lineage: Eukaryota; Metazoa; Chordata; Aves; Passeriformes; Paridae.